AUUGAACGCUGGAGGCGUGCUUAACACAUGCAAGUCGUGCGAGAAAGGGACUUCGGUCCUGAGUAGAGCGGCGCACGGGUGAGUAACGCGUGGGUAAUCUCCCUUGGUGAUCGGGAUAACAGCGGGAAACUGCUGCUAAUACCGGAUAAUCUUCAUGUUUAACUUCAUGGGGUAAAGGUGGCCUCUGCUUGCAAGCUACCACCUCAAGAUGAGCCCGCGUCUCAUUAGCUAGUUGGUAGGGUAAUGGCCUACCAAGGCUACGGUGAGUAGCUGGUCUGAGAGGAUGGCCAGCCACACUGGGACUGGAACACGGCCCAGACUCCUACGGGAGGCAGCAGUGGGGAAUAUUGCGCAAUGGGCGAAAGCCUGACGCAGCGACGCCUCGUGAGGGAUGAAGGUCUUCGGAUCGUAAACCUCUGUCAAGAGGGAAGAAACCCUUGAGUUCGAACAGGACUCUUGGCUGACGGUACCUCAAAAGGAAGCACCGGCUAACUCCGUGCCAGCCGCCGCCGUAA
This 515-nucleotide ribosomal RNA is filed under the name uncultured bacterium. RNAcentral's name for it is "partial 16S ribosomal RNA". It matches the Rfam family "Bacterial small subunit ribosomal RNA", at positions 30 to 523 of the family's 1533-position model. The record is from RNAcentral.